GAUGAACGCUAGCGACAGGCCUAACACAUGCAAGUCGAGGGGCAGCACGGUGUAGCAAUACACGGGUGGCGACCGGCGCACGGGUGAGUAACGCGUAUGCAACCUGCCUACUACAAGGGGAUAACCCGUUGAAAGACGGACUAAUACCCUAUAACACAGGGGAUCCGCAUGGAUAUAUUUGUUAAAGAUUUAUCGGUAGUAGAUGGGCAUGCGUUCCAUUAGCUUGUUGGUGAGGUAACGGCUCACCAAGGCAACGAUGGAUAGGGGAACUGAGAGGUUGAUCCCCCACACUGGAACUGAGACACGGUCCAGACUCCUACGGGAGGCAGCAGUGAGGAAUAUUGGUCAAUGGACGAGAGUCUGAACCAGCCAAGUCGCGUGAAGGAAGACGGCCCUACGGGUUGUAAACUUCUUUUGUAAGGGAAUAAAUAGUCUUACGCGCUAAGACGUUGCAGGUACCUUACGAAUAAGGAUCGGCUAACUCCGUGCCAGCAGCCGCGGUAAUACGGAGGAUCCGAGCGUUAUCCGGAUUUAUUGGGUUUAAAGGGUGCGCAGGCGGCAUGUUAAGUCGGCGGUGAAAUUUUGCAGCUCAACUGUAAAAGAGCCUUCGAAACUGGCAAGCUUGAGUGUGGAUGAAGUAGGCGGAAUUUGUGGUGUAGCGGUGAAAUGCAUAGAUAUCACAAAGAACACCGAUUGCGCAGGCAGCUUACUAAACCAUAACUGACGCUCAUGCACGAAGGCGUGGGGAUCAAACA
RNAcentral lists this ribosomal RNA (755 nucleotides) under bacterium enrichment culture clone B1-10. Its description in RNAcentral is "bacterial SSU rRNA". It matches the Rfam family "Bacterial small subunit ribosomal RNA", at positions 28 to 774 of the family's 1533-position model. The record is from RNAcentral.